Molecule: RNase P RNA, 341 nt
Filed under: Candidatus Woesearchaeota archaeon
Lineage: Archaea; Nanobdellati; Candidatus Woesearchaeota
Description: RNase P RNA component
Rfam family: Archaeal RNase P
About the family: Ribonuclease P (RNase P) is a ubiquitous endoribonuclease, found in archaea, bacteria and eukarya as well as chloroplasts and mitochondria. Its best characterised activity is the generation of mature 5'-ends of tRNAs by cleaving the 5'-leader elements of precursor-tRNAs.
Source: RNAcentral
GGGAGGGUACUGAGCUUUCGGCAAACGCUGAGGAAAGUCUGCCCACCACAAAACGCGACUUGAAAGCCAAGCUUUCAAGGUUCGGAAACGGACGGCAACAUCGCAGAAACGAUACCACGUGCGAGCAGAAUGAUGCGCGGGCCCCUCGGGCGACCUUAGGGGAGAAUGCGCUGACGUUCUCGCAUGAGCGGAUGAAACGGAUAGUCCUCGCAGGUGCAAGCACAAAAAGUGCGCUAAGUAAAAUGCUCAGAGCGCCUGUCCAGGCCUUUUAAAGGGCCACAGAUGCACAUCAUCUGCACAUCAUCUGAUGGAGGCGCACAAAAGGCAGCUUAUUCCCACCC